RNAcentral lists this ribosomal RNA (528 nucleotides) under uncultured bacterium. Its description in RNAcentral is "bacterial SSU rRNA". It matches the Rfam family "Bacterial small subunit ribosomal RNA", at positions 777 to 1301 of the family's 1533-position model. The record is from RNAcentral.
AAUAGAUACCCGUGGUAGUCCACGCCGUAAACGAUGAGUGCUAAGUGUUAGAGGGUUUCCGCCCUUUAGUGCUGCAGCAAACGCAUUAAGCACUCCGCCUGGGGAGUACGGCCGCAAGGCUGAAACUCAAAGGAAUUGACGGGGGCCCGCACAAGCGGUGGAGCAUGUGGUUUAAUUCGAAGCAACGCGAAGAACCUUACCAGGUCUUGACAUCUCCUGACAAUCCUAGAGAUAGGACGUUCCCCUUCGGGGGACAGGAUGACAGGUGGUGCAUGGUUGUCGUCAGCUCGUGUCGUGAGAUGUUGGGUUAAGUCCCGCAACGAGCGCAACCCUUGAUCUUAGUUGCCAGCAUUUAGUUGGGCACUCUAAGGUGACUGCCGGUGACAAACCGGAGGAAGGUGGGGAUGACGUCAAAUCAUCAUGCCCCUUAUGACCUGGGCUACACACGUGCUACAAUGGAUGGUACAAAGGGCAGCAAAGCGGUGACGCCUAGCAAAUCCCAUAAAAACCAUUCUCAGUUCGGAUUGU